GUUGUUCCUUGAGGAGUGGCUUCCGGAGCUAACGCGUUAAGUCGACCGCCUGGGGAGUACGGCCGCAAGGUUAAAACUCAAAUGAAUUGACGGGGGCCCGCACAAGCGGUGGAGCAUGUGGUUUAAUUCGAUGCAACGCGAAGAACCUUACCUACUCUUGACAUCCACAGAAUUUNGCAGAGAUGCNUUNGUGCCUUCGGGAACNCUGAGACAGGUGCUGCAUGGCUGUCGUCAGCUCGUGUUGUGAAAUGUUGGGUUAAGUCCCGCAACGAGCGCAACCCUUAUCCUUUGUUGCCAGCGAUUCGGUCGGGAACUCAAAGGAGACUGCCGGUGAUAAACCGGAGGAAGGUGGGGAUGACGUCAAGUCAUCAUGGCCCUUACGAGUAGGGCUACACACGUGCUACAAUGGCGCAUACAAAGAGAAGCGACCUCGCGAGAGCAAGCGGACCUCAUAAAGUGCGUCGUAGUCCGGAUCGGAGUCUGCAACUCGACUCCGUGAAGUCGGAAUCGCUAGUAAUCGUGGAUCAGAAUGCCACGGUGAAUACGUUCCCGGGCCUUGUACACACCGCCCGUCACACCAUGGGAGUGGGUUGCAAAAGAAGUAGGUAGCUUAACCUUCGGGAGGGCGCUUACCACUUUGUGAUUCAUGACUGGGGUG
RNAcentral lists this ribosomal RNA (658 nucleotides) under Pantoea ananatis. Its description in RNAcentral is "bacterial SSU rRNA". It matches the Rfam family "Bacterial small subunit ribosomal RNA", at positions 823 to 1482 of the family's 1533-position model. Lineage: Bacteria; Pseudomonadati; Pseudomonadota; Gammaproteobacteria; Enterobacterales; Erwiniaceae. The record is from RNAcentral.